GAUGAACGCUGGCGGCGUGCCUAAUACAUGCAAGUCGAGCGAACGGACGAGAAGCUUGCUUCUCUGAUGUUAGCGGCGGACGGGUGAGUAACACGUGGAUAACCUACCUAUAAGACUGGGAUAACUUCGGGAAACCGGAGCUAAUACCGGAUAAUAUUUUGAACCGCAUGGUUCAAAAGUGAAAGACGGUCUUGCUGUCACUUAUAGAUGGAUCCGCCCUGCAUUAGCUAGUUGGUAAGGUAACGGCUUACCAAGGCAACGAUGCGUAGCCGACCUUAGAGGGUGAUCGCCCACACUGGAACUGAGACACGGUCCAGACUCCUACGGGAGGCAGCAGUAGGGAAUCUUCCGCAAUGGGCGAAAGCCUGACGGAGCAACGCCGCGUGAGUGAUGAAGGUCUUCGGAUCGUAAAACUCUGUUAUUAGGGAAGAACAUAUGUGUAAGUAACUGUGCACAUCUUGACGGUACCUAAUCAGAAAGCCACGGCUAACUACGUG
RNAcentral lists this ribosomal RNA (497 nucleotides) under uncultured bacterium. RNAcentral's name for it is "partial 16S ribosomal RNA". It matches the Rfam family "Bacterial small subunit ribosomal RNA", at positions 28 to 507 of the family's 1533-position model. The record is from RNAcentral.